GCGCGAUUAGCUCAGUGGUAGAGCGCUUGCUUCACACGCAAGAAGUCACAGGUUCAAACCCUGUAUCGCGCA
This 72-nucleotide transfer RNA is filed under the name Verrucomicrobiota bacterium. RNAcentral describes it as "Verrucomicrobia bacterium tRNA-Val". It matches the Rfam family "tRNA". Rfam says of the family: Transfer RNA (tRNA) molecules are approximately 80 nucleotides in length. Lineage: Bacteria; Pseudomonadati; Verrucomicrobiota. The record is from RNAcentral.